This 173-nucleotide ribosomal RNA is filed under the name Xenopus laevis (African clawed frog). Its description in RNAcentral is "partial 12S rRNA". Lineage: Eukaryota; Metazoa; Chordata; Amphibia; Anura; Pipidae. The record is from RNAcentral.
CGCCGCGGUUAUACGAGAAACUCAAGUUGAUCAUUUUCGGCGUAAAGCGUGAUUAAAGUAACCCAAACUAGAGUCAAACUCCAACCAAGCUGUCGCACGCUUUCGUUGGUUUGAAGAACACUCACGAAAGUAACUCUACCCAUAUUACACUUGAACUCACGACCGCUAGGAAA